AUCCGAGUGCACGGGCGUUUUCCUUCUCCGUGAAGCGAUAAGCUGAGAGAGGAAUUUUGCUAGUUGAAAACUAUUUACAAACCGCUCCUGUUUGGGCAAUGCCUGGGCAGGGAAUUUUUGGAACUCUCUUUCCACUCCGAUGGGU
RNAcentral lists this small nuclear RNA (145 nucleotides) under Hapsidospora chrysogenum ATCC 11550. RNAcentral describes it as "Acremonium chrysogenum ATCC 11550 U4 spliceosomal RNA". It matches the Rfam family "U4 spliceosomal RNA". Rfam says of the family: U4 small nuclear RNA (U4 snRNA) is a component of the major U2-dependent spliceosome. The structure of U4 snRNA from yeast and human has been reported. U4 snRNA presents a k-turn RNA motif in the 5p-SL related to recognition of Snu13 protein. The record is from Rfam by way of RNAcentral. Lineage: Eukaryota; Fungi; Ascomycota; Sordariomycetes; Hypocreales; Bionectriaceae.